Long non-coding RNA from Astatotilapia calliptera (eastern happy), 490 nucleotides. The record is from Ensembl. NCBI's taxonomy places the organism in Eukaryota, Metazoa, Chordata, Actinopteri, Cichliformes, Cichlidae.
CUCAUUUGCUUCAGCAAGAGGCUGCACUGGAGAGUGGACUUUGUCACAUGUGAGCCACCCACAUCAACAGGAUGGGAACUCAUGUGGAGUGCAUGUCAUAAUGUUUCCCCAAUCUCUCAUUGACGGUAAAACACAAGUGGAGGAGUACAACACUGAAAUCACAAAGCUCAGGUCCCGACUUUGCCACUACUUAUUUUCCUCAAUAGGUAAAGAUAAAAUUAGCCGCCUUCUUUUUCUCUAACAUUGGAAAAUGUAACUUGUACUUAAACAAAUUAUAUUUUGCAGAACGAACUAGGAAGUGCAGUCAGUGCUGGUGUGUGAUUGCAGCCAAAGACCGGGUGCAGUGCCAGAAAUGUGGUGCAUACAAGCACAUGCGUUGUUCAAAGUCUGUUUGUGGCAUCUGUAUCUUCUGUGAGAGUAAGUCACAAUAUACAGCUGUGGUCAAAAGUUUACAUACACUUGUAAAGAAUAGAAUAUAAUGGCUCUACCG